GAUGAACGCUAGCGGCAGGCCUAAUACAUGCAAGGCGAGGGGUUCGCAAGGACACCGUCGUACGGGUGCGUAACGCGUAUGCAACCUACCUAUCACAGGGGGAUAGCCUUUGGAAACAGGGAUUAAUACCGCAUAAAGCAGGGGCUUGGCAUCAAGAUACUGCUAAAGAUUUAUCGGUGAUAGAUGGGCAUGCGUCUGAUUAGUUAGUUGGCAGGGUAACGGCCUACCAAGACGAUGAUCAGUAGGGGGCGUCAGAGCGUGGUCCCCCACACUGGCACUGAGAUACGGGCCAGACUCCUACGGGAGGCAGCAGUAGGGAAUAUUGGGCAAUGGGUGCAAGCCUGACCCAGCCAUGCCGCGUGGAGGAAGAAGGUCCUCUGGAUUGUAAAUAUCUUUUAUCUGGGAAGAAACAAUCUUAUUCUUAAGAUCUUGACGGUACCAGAGGAAUAAGCACCGGCUAACUCCGUGCCAGCAGCCGCGGUAAAUGCGACG
Molecule: ribosomal RNA, 492 nt
Filed under: uncultured bacterium
Lineage: Bacteria
Description: bacterial SSU rRNA
Rfam family: Bacterial small subunit ribosomal RNA
Source: RNAcentral